CUUUGCUGACGAGCGGCGGACGGGUGCGUAACACGUAGGAAUCUGCCCGGUAGUGGGGGAUAGCCCGGAGAAAUUCGGAUUAAUACCGCAUACGCCCUAAGGGGGAAAGCAGGGGAUCUUCGGACCUUGCGCUAUCGGAUGAGCCUGCGUCGGAUUAGCUAGUUGGUGGGGUAAAGGCCCACCAAGGCAACGAUCCGUAGCUGGUCUGAGAGGAUGAUCAGCCACACUGGGACUGAGACACGGCCCAGACUCCUACGGGAGGCAGCAGUGGGGAAUAUUGCACAAUGGGCGAAAGCCUGAUGCAGCCAUGCCGCGUGUGUGAAGAAGGCCCUAGGGUUGUAAAGCACUUUCAGUGGGGAGGAAAGGUUGAAGGUUAAUACCCUUCAGCUGUGACGUUACCCACAGAAGAAGCACCGGCUAACUCCGUGCCAGCAGCCGCGGUAAUACGGAGGGUGCGAGCGUUAAUCGGAAUUACUGGGCGUAAAGCGUGCGUAGGCGGCUUUUUAAGUUGGAUGUGAAAGCCCCGGGCUUAACCUGGGAACUGCAUCCAAAACUGGAAGGCUUGAGUGCGAGAGAAGAGUGUGGAAUUUCCUGUGUAGCGGUGAAAUGCGUAGAUAUAGGAUGGAACACCAGUGGCGAAGGCGACACUCUGGCUCGACACUGACGCUGAGGUACGAAAGCGUG
Molecule: ribosomal RNA, 684 nt
Filed under: uncultured bacterium
Lineage: Bacteria
Description: bacterial SSU rRNA
Rfam family: Bacterial small subunit ribosomal RNA
Source: RNAcentral